UUAUCACCAUUAUCAACAGUUAAACCACAUUAUUAACAAAAAAAGAAUAUGAAAGGGAUUAGGGUUAAAGAAUUGUGACCAUUGAAAUUAUCUGAACUUCAUCUUCUCUCUUUCUCAAAACGUGAACGGCACCGCAAAUCUCCGACGGGAAUUCUUUUCUCGCGCCACCAUGAACAAGGCAAUACACCGACCGUCCUUCUACAUUUCAACCUCUCUCCGUUCGUUCUCAAUCUCGCUCUCUCAUGAUCUCGUAAAGAAAUUAGCGGAAAAGCGGUAUUUUCUGGUGAUGAAUCAGACUUGAAAAUCGCUCAGAUGAUGACGCGUUAAGGUAGAUGAUGAAGGUUGUUAUAGUGCGGCGAUGCUGUUGAAUUGAAGGAGAGUUGAAGGUUGAAGGAGGUGAUGAGUAGGUUCACCGCGUGAAGAAUGUUGCAGAAUGAUUGUUGAGGAUAGGGAUGAAGAAUGUGAAGUGUGGCAGAGGGAGAAUGAAUCGAGAGAUGGUGAAGAUGGAAGUGAUGAUGAAUGAGUCGGGAGUGAAGAGAAGAUGGUGAUGGAGUGCAGAGAGAUGGAUGAUUGAAGAUGAGAAGAAAAUGGAGGGAGAGUUGAAGAAUGUGGAGGUGAUUCUGAUUAUAUAGUUGAGUUUUCUUCUGGUUUCUAUUGAAUCUCUGAUAUCCUCUGUUUCUCAUCCCCUCCUCUUUUCUGUUUUCAAUUCUUUUUUCAGUUAGUUACAAAUUGGCUACCUGUUAGUUAUAGGUUUGGUUAUGAUUCUGUUAGCUCUGUUAGAAGGUAGUUAGGGAAUCUGUUAGAGGUGGUUAGUAACUGAAUCGGUUAUGAACUAUACUAGGUUGUUAGGAGUUGGUAGAAGUUAGUUAGGAUCUGUUAUAGGUUAUAACUGAAUCGGUUAGGUGGUUGGAAAAAGUUUGUUAGGUUUGUUAGGAAAUCAGAAUUCUGUUGAAGGUUAUAACUGAAUCGGUUAGGUGGUUGAAUGGUUAGAAGUUUAGUUAUAGGGCUAUGGCUAAUAAUUGGUUAAUGAAAACAGUUAGUUAUAUGGUUUGAAAUUGGUUAGGAAUACAACUGUUAGUUUCUAAAAGUUAGUAAUGAGGUGGUAUGAAAACUGUUAGUUUGGGGUGAUUUAUGCAGGGGCUGAUAUGUGGAUGUAGGAUAAGGUUGGUUAAUUGUGUGGAGUGGGUUUUAUAACUGUUGAAUGUGAGCAGGGUUUGACUAUUUGGAUUGGUGUGUAUGGCUUUGCUGCAGGGACUGUUUUUUUUAUGGGUGAAUGGUUAUGGACUAUUUCUCAUUUCUGUUUUUCUUGCUGGAAGUUUUUGUUUUUUGGAUGUAUGAUUUUGAUGGGCUGAUUGCUUCCAUAGUAUACCAUAGUUCACACCAAUAUCGCUACUGGCUUUUGCAUAUGGAGAGUUAGGAGAAUUUGCAUAUAGUUUAAUGAAAUAAAAAAGAUACCGUAGCAGAAAGAAAGUCCAUCUUCAAACUUGAUCACACAACUAAACGGGACAAGUACAGUCAAAGAACCCAUUUCUUGAACUAAUGUUCCAAUUGCUAGGUGUUUUCUACAUGUGGCAGUAAUGGUUAAGCAAUAGGGUUUGAAUGGUUGCAAAUUGGCAAGGGCGCGAGGUGCGGAUUGCGGCACAUAUGGAGUUACUUGGCUCAUGAAAAUAAUUUGGAGAUAACUUGAAGAACUGAGGAUUUAGGGACAGUAGGCUUCUAGGAAAUUUGUUUGACUUUUAAUCUUUUCAUGUAGCUUUCUGUUCCCUUUUGUGACAGUUCUGUAAUUGAAUUUCCUGUAGUAUGUGAUUGAACUUGAGUUUGACUUUUGUAUUUCAAAUAAUAAAAAAUGAAUGAUUUCCCUUCUUUGUUGAAUAAAAUACUUCCAAAAUAUGGUUAUAGUCAAGUACUAAAGAAGAGGUCAAUGUGACUUGGUCAACUCAAGUGAAUAUUUUCAAUUUCACUCCUUAUCCAACAUGCAUUUCUUUUAAAGCUUCUUUCCUUGAGAAAACUGGAACCAAGACAGCUCGCAACAUAAGGAGCAAUAUUUGAUCAGGUGAACUUAUAAGAAUCCAAUAUAUGUAAGCCAACCCUUGACUUAAUAAUGCCACACAUGAUGCGGAUGAAUAAAUGAUUUUACCCUAAAAUAAAUGAAUGAUAAGAAUGUAUGCAGAUGAAUCCAAAGUCAUAAGCCAAGUAGAAAU
Vicia villosa (hairy vetch) is the source of this 2201-nucleotide long non-coding RNA. RefSeq lists it as uncharacterized. The transcript has 3 exons. The record is from RefSeq and is a predicted model, not a curated record. NCBI's taxonomy places the organism in Eukaryota, Viridiplantae, Streptophyta, Magnoliopsida, Fabales, Fabaceae.